CCUACGGGAGGCAGCAGUGAGGAAUAUUGGUCAAUGGCCGUAAGGCUGAACCAGCCAAGUCGCGUGAAGGAAGAAGGAUCUAUGGUUUGUAAACUUCUUUUAUAGGGGAAUAAAGGUAUCCACGUGUGGAUAUUUGCAUGUACCCUAUGAAUAAGCAUCGGCUAACUCCGUGCCAGCAGCCGCGGUAAUACGGAGGAUGCGAGCGUUAUCCGGGUUUAUUGGGUUUAAAGGGUGCGUAGGUUGUUUUUUAAGUCAGCGGUGAAAGUUUGUGGCUCAACCAUAAAAUUGCCGUUGAAACUGGCAGACUAGAGUGUGUUUGAGGUAGGCGGAAUGCGAGGUGAAGCGGUGAAAUGCAUAGAUAUAACGCAGAACUCCGAUUGCGAAGGCAGCUUACUAAGCCAUAACUGACACUGAAGCACGAAAGCGUGGGGAGCAAACAGGAUUAGAUACCCUAGUAGUC
Molecule: ribosomal RNA, 460 nt
Filed under: uncultured bacterium
Lineage: Bacteria
Description: partial 16S ribosomal RNA
Rfam family: Bacterial small subunit ribosomal RNA
Source: RNAcentral